This 348-nucleotide long non-coding RNA is filed under the name Apteryx owenii (little spotted kiwi). RNAcentral describes it as "lncRNA (ENSAOWG00000010785.1)". The record is from RNAcentral. Lineage: Eukaryota; Metazoa; Chordata; Aves; Apterygiformes; Apterygidae.
UUGGUAGUGUUUUUUCAGGUUCCUUUUCAUAGUCAAGAGGAUAAUACAUUCUUCUCUUUCAGAGUCUUAUCCUAUAGACAAGCAAUUAUAUGAGAUCUGAAAAAAAUACGUCACAAGAGUUGGAUCAGAGAUUCUUCAAAACUGAAACAGGGUCAGAGUUUCUUCUUUGGUGCCAGUGGACUCCAUGCAGUACCUGUUCCAUCCAGGAUGUAAUUGAAAGUAGAGACUAAAGGCAAUGAGGAGGACCAUCUACUUUGCUCAGUGCAGCAGCAUAUUGGAGAAACAGAACGGAUGGCAAACUUGAAUCUUUGUAAUUCUGUGUUUAGAUUACAGGUAUUUUAUUUUCUU